AAUGAACGCUGGCGGCAUGCCUAACACAUGCAAGUCGAACGAGACCUCCGUAACUGGUUGCGCACGGGGGCGUAACGCGUCGGAACCUGGCGUUAUACUCGGGAUAAUUCCCCUACGGGGGGGCUAAUACCGGGUAAUUUCCUCUGACAAAAGAUUCAUCGUCUGGGUAUGGGCCCGCGUUCGUCUAGCUAGUAGGUAGGGUAUGAGCCUACCUAGGCUACGAUCCAUAGCUGGUCUGAGAGGAUGAUCAGCCACACUGCGACUGGGACACGUCCCGGACUCUGACGGGAGGCAGCAGGGGGGAAUCAUGGACACUGGGCGAAUGAAGGAUGCAGUAAUGCUGCGAAGGUGAUGUGGGCCGUAGGAUAGGAAAGCUCUUUUACCCGCGAUGAUAAGGACAGUACCGGGAGAAUAAGCCCCGGCUAACUCCGG
This 432-nucleotide ribosomal RNA is filed under the name uncultured bacterium. Its description in RNAcentral is "partial 16S ribosomal RNA". It matches the Rfam family "Bacterial small subunit ribosomal RNA", at positions 29 to 506 of the family's 1533-position model. The record is from RNAcentral.